GUGUCCGUAGCUCAGCUGGAUAGAGCAACGGCCUUCUAAGCCGUGGGUCGGGGGUUCGAAUCCCUUCGGGCACACUA
Molecule: transfer RNA, 77 nt
Filed under: Butyrivibrio proteoclasticus B316
Lineage: Bacteria; Bacillati; Bacillota; Clostridia; Lachnospirales; Lachnospiraceae
Also listed under: 1 other name
Description: tRNA-Arg
Rfam family: tRNA
About the family: Transfer RNA (tRNA) molecules are approximately 80 nucleotides in length.
Source: RNAcentral